Molecule: ribosomal RNA, 774 nt
Filed under: uncultured Neocallimastigales
Lineage: Eukaryota; Fungi; Neocallimastigomycota; Neocallimastigomycetes; Neocallimastigales
Description: partial large subunit ribosomal RNA
Rfam family: Eukaryotic large subunit ribosomal RNA
Source: RNAcentral
UAUGUGAUCGUCUCUCGCAUAUCAAUAAGCGGAGGAAAAGAAACUAACAAGGAUUCCCCUAGUAACGGCGAGUGAAGCGGGAAGAGCUCAAAUUUGAAAUCUUAAAGGGUUUCCCUUUACGAAUUGUAGUUUAAAGAAGUGUUUUCUGUUGAGGUUUUGGUAAAAGUUCUUUGGAAUAGGACAUCAUAGAGGGUGAGAAUCCCGUAUUUGACCUUUACUUUCAACUUUGUGAUACACUUUCAAAGAGUCGGAUUGAUUGGGAAUGCAGUCCAAAAUGGGUGGUAAAUUUCAUCUAAAGCUAAAUAUUGGCGAGAGACCGAUAGCGAACAAGUACCGUGAGGGAAAGAUGAAAAGAACUUUGAAAAGAGAGUUAAACAGUACGUGAAAUUGUCAAAAGGGAAGCGUUUGACACCAGUGUUGUUUUUCUGAAAAUCAAUUAAAGAACUGUUUAUGCUAAGCUGUUUAGACUUUAUCAGCUAUCUGUUUAGUUUUGAGCUUUUCUUUAAUGCACUUUUCAGUUAACAAGUCAACAUCAAUUUCUUUUGCUGUAAAAAAGCUUGAGGAAGGUGGCUUGAGAUUCGUCUUAAGUGUUUAUAGCCUCUUGCCUAUGCAGUCGGAGAGAUUGAGGUCUGCAGCGUAGAUCCUUCGGGGCUAAAUGCAUUUGUGCUAAGUUAUAGCAUUUUAUAGACAACUUGUUGACUAUGAUUUGUCUUGUAGCUUACUCGCUUAUGUUAUUUUACCUACGCUUAGGAUGUUGAGCGCAUGUCUCUCUCU